CGCUCUGACUUGAUUAGCAGCUAUUUAUCCUUCGGUCUCGGAGGUGUCCCAACCCGGAGGCUCUCACAGCUUCCCCUCUUAUUUCCAACUUGACUGUCUCCCCUGCUAUGCCAUGAGCUCCCCAGAACGGGGCCCGGGCUUGCUCAGCACUAUGUCUCCAGUGUCUGACCAUUACAGAGACAGAACUAGUGUCUCCAGUGCUCGACCCCUCCGAGCCCAGGCACACAGGCUCAGUCAACGUUCGACGGGAAGAUGACCGAACGAGCGAUCCCACAGAGGGAAGAGCCUAAUCCCAACGGGGAGACGUGCACUCAAAAGUUGUAUGCAGGUACUAGCAAAUAUUCCUGUAGGAACGCACCGAGGUGUGUGCAGAAGGUACUUGAGAAAAAUAAAGUUAGGAUACUCUCUUCUGUCUAAAACGCCCCUUCGAACCUCCGUGCCAGGCCCCGCGCUGCCAUCUGUCCACACAGAUGGACAAAUUAGGGUCCUGUUAGUCCAGCGGGGAGACAGUCCCUUGAGGGUCCCCUGAGUUUGCUGAAAGCCACUCCCACCGCCCCCUCCAAUCACAGAAGCGCCUACACAGCCCAUUCUGCAUAUAAUUUGAAGGGGGGGUCACAGCACCCAGAAGGCAGCUGAGGACCACGGCUUGACUAUCCCUGGUGUAGCUGGAUCGAGAAAAAUCAAAUGAAUGGCUUGGAGCGCAAGCCGGCCCAUGACACAACUGAGGAAGGAACCCAGGGCUUCGGAAGAGGUCGCGGAAACAGGGGCUUGAGGCAGGGAUGGGACGGCGGCGGCAGGACCGAGGGAUCACGUUAAGAUAUCUGUCCCACUCUCCAGAUAAAACGAAGCCGAGCAAAGAUUUCAGAGCGAAAAGCGCCGUAAACGCCAGGCCGGCUCGGAAAGAUGACGCAACCGCCGCGCGAGUUCCCACCAACUCGCGACUGCCCCGCCCCUGCCCGGUGCAUUGUGGGUCUUGGAGGCGCCCACGGGGCGUUGGGUCUCGCGAGCGAGCGCGAGCGGGAUUCACGCGGAUGACAGAAUCCAGCGGGGAGGGGCGUCCUCUGCUUCCGUUCCUCCGGGCGAAGUCCCGCCCCCUGACCGGGAAGGGCCAAUCCCAAGGCCUCCUCGUCCCGGCCGCGGGGAUUGGUCCGAAGAUUCACAAGACCGGAAGGGUCGCCGGUCACGUGACCGAGAGACACUCCGCCACGUGACCGAGGCGGCGGCGUCCUUGAACCUGGGUUUUAUCUGCGGCGGGAAAGGGCGCGAGAGACCCAGACCUAAAACCCGGGUUCGGGACGGCGAAGCUCGCGGACUGCUGCGAGGCCCCGGCCUCCUGCGGCCGUGGGCAGGCUCUGUCAGAGUGAUCAGGGCCUCAGGCCCCUCGCCUGUGAGUGAAAUGGGCACAGCGUGCCCCGAAGAACAAGAUUGCCCGACGCCCACGGGACGCAGAGUGCGUAGAAAUGCCCUGCCGAUGUGAAGCGGGGACCCCUCUCCAGCUGCUCAGAAAGCUGGCCUUGAAUCAGAUUGUUGAGCGGAGCAGAGCCCCUGUCCGUGGCUGACUUAAGCGACCAAGUCGCAGGUAGUAGGUAUGUGGCGCGGACCUACACCCUUUGGAUACGGGCCACUUGACUUUUGUUAUCUUACUAAGUCGACAACCACAGUGACGGUGCAGUAGUGUCGGCGAGGCGCAGAGACGGGGAGAGCCUUUGCUGAGGCCGCAGAGCCUGGAAGUGGAUGAGCCUCGGUUGGACCCAGGCGUCAGCCUGCGCAACCGGCAAACCCUCCGCCAGGUGGCUUUUGCACCGACAGGCUAUGAUGGGCGAGACGACUGGGAGCGCACAUCACCACAGUCCCCAUGCUGUGCAGAGUCACCCGAGCCACGUUGGCUCUCCCAUUCCCUACUGUUAACUGCUCAAGAUAAUGGUGACCAUGGAGGCUGGAGCCAGCGACUUCCCAUUCUCCCCUUCCCACCGGGGCAGAACUGGUGUCUUGAGUCCUUUACCCCAGGGGCAGGAAGUAUGUCGGGCAUCGCCAGGAAACGAGGAGAAGCACAGUGAGUGAGGAACCUGGAAGCCAGAACUGGAAGAAAGGGGAUGAGAAAUGGGCAAAAGCUGAAAGAAAACAAGCACCAGCAAUUUACUUCAUUCAAGUCUACAAGUAUUUAUUGAACACCUACAGGGUACCAGACACUGCACUGAUAGAAUUUACUUUCUAGUGCAGGAAAGAGACAGUAAAAGAUAAAUGAUAUCAUACUAUAAGCGUCUCUGAAUAUGCUGCCGAGGGAUGGAGGCUGCUGCUUGUGGCUGCGUUUUGGUGUUCUGCCUGACGAGUGACAGCACCUGGCGCAGCCCCACCCUGCGUGGAAAGGACGGGACGUUGGCUAGGGCAGCAGGAGGGUCGGGGGUGGUUAAGACAAGAUCGGGGACGGUGGGGACCGCUCUGCGAUCCUGGAAGCAACAGGUGCGGCACCCAGCCCGGCGGGGCGCGACCUGCAGUUACACCGAGAAGCCACUAGGUGUCAGGACGCCCUUUGGCCUGCGUUUGGUGCCAGCUAGCCCAGUGACCUGGGCACCUGUUUCUGGGCGGAUGCUCAGGAGAUCCUUGAGCACCCUCUGAGAUCAUGGUUUGCACCGAGUCCAUUCAUAUAUGUAACUAGAUAAGGACAACAAUUGUAUUUUUUAAAUAAAUUUUUU
Long non-coding RNA from Pteropus alecto (black flying fox), 2693 nucleotides. RefSeq lists it as uncharacterized. The record is from RefSeq and is a predicted model, not a curated record. NCBI's taxonomy places the organism in Eukaryota, Metazoa, Chordata, Mammalia, Chiroptera, Pteropodidae. The transcript has 2 exons.